RNA transcript from Musa acuminata AAA Group (dessert banana), 1213 nucleotides. It is a transcript of the gene named small ribosomal subunit protein eS10z-like, with no coding region annotated. NCBI's taxonomy places the organism in Eukaryota, Viridiplantae, Streptophyta, Magnoliopsida, Zingiberales, Musaceae. The transcript is spliced from 6 exons. The record is from RefSeq and is a predicted model, not a curated record.
GCCUUAACGAAAUCAAGGAUUAGGGUUUUGCUUAUCCCCUCUCGCCGCCUCCGCGGCGCUUGGUAAGAACCCUCCUCCAUUUGCGGAGACCGGUUGUUGCCCGAAGCCAUGAUCAUCCCGAAUAAGAACCGCCAUGAAAUCUGCAAAUACCUCUUCCAAGAGGGGGUGCUGUACGCGAAGAAGGACUAUAACCUCGCGAAGCACCCGGAGAUCGAUGUUCCGAACCUCCAGGUGAUCAAGCUCAUGCAGAGCUUCAAAUCGAGGGAGUAUGUGCGUGAGACCUUUGCCUGGCAGCACUACUACUGGUACCUUACGAAUGAUGGCAUUGAGUACCUGAGAACAUUUCUUAACCUGCCAUCGGAGAUUGUUCCUGCAACCCUGAAGAAGUCUUCAAGGCCACCACCGACCCGCCCAUUUGGCUCUGGUCCUCCUGGCGACCGCCCCAGGGGACCGCCCCGGUUUGAAGGAGAUAGGCCAAGGUUUGGAGACAGGGAUGGGUACCGAGGUGGCCCUCGCGCUGGGCCGCCUGGUGAAUUAGGGGACAAGGGUGGUGCACCUGCUGAGUUCCAACCAUCUUUCCGGGGUGCUGGUGGCAGGCCUGGAUUUGGCCGUGGAGGUGGAGGAUAUGGACCAGGUGCUGCAUCUGCUUCUUAUCAGUAGUUCUAAGGCAACUGUCCGUGUCAUAUCUCAUCAAGCCUCCAAUGUUCCAUAGCUAGGUCAAGAUUCAUAUUUCCCCAAGUGAUUGGUGGAUUAGAGUUUUGGACAAACUUUCCGUUUAAGGCUGCAUAUCACACAGACACUGCUUUUGAGGUUCUCAAAAUUAUUCUUCUUCCGUAUUCAUCAUCAGAGGUGGAAUAACAAGAGCCUUUUGGCUAUAUGCAUUUUGGCGAAUUUGCUCAUUGACAUGUUACAACUUGUUAGCUGUUGGUGUGGCGAAUGCUGAGAUGGAAGGUCGGCUCGAGCUCACAGUGGUUUACGGUCAAAAUCUUGUUGCAAUAUGAGAGCCCUUCUUGAGACGCGAAUCUCGAGUUGGAGUCAACAUGCUUUCUCGUGCAACAAGGCCCAUGUCGGGUGUAGAGUGAGAGUCUAAGAAAUGGGUGUGCUACUUGCAAGCAUUGAGGGAAAAUGUUCCCUGAGUUGAAAAAUAUUUGGGCAUUCUGAUUCUUGCAAGCAUUGAGGGAAAAUGUUUCCUGAAUUGAAAAAUAUUUGGGCA